Molecule: transfer RNA, 72 nt
Filed under: Camelus bactrianus (Bactrian camel)
Lineage: Eukaryota; Metazoa; Chordata; Mammalia; Artiodactyla; Camelidae
Also listed under: 2 other names
Rfam family: tRNA
About the family: Transfer RNA (tRNA) molecules are approximately 80 nucleotides in length. Their secondary structure includes four short double-helical elements and three loops (D, anti-codon, and T loops).
Source: Rfam by way of RNAcentral
UGAGGUACAGCUCUGUGGUAAAGCACAUGCUUAGCAUGCAUGAGAUCUUGGGUUUAAUCCUCAGUACUUCCA